This is a long non-coding RNA of Dendrobium catenatum, 776 nucleotides long. RefSeq lists it as uncharacterized. The transcript has 3 exons. Lineage: Eukaryota; Viridiplantae; Streptophyta; Magnoliopsida; Asparagales; Orchidaceae. The record is from RefSeq and is a predicted model, not a curated record.
GGCCAUGGAGUACCUAUGCCGACGCCCAUUCGUGUAUGUAUACCCAAUCCGAAGUUGCGGGCCUUGCGGCUAGGUUUUUUGCUGCCUUGAGCGCGACGAGAGCGGCAACGGGAGAUCAACCGACUUUUCUUCGUGGUUUGUCAUCUUUCUCUUGUAUCUCAUUCUCAAAUCUCGACAACUUCAUUCAUUUCGCAAGAACAUCAAUUUCAUUCAUUUCGCUCGUUCGGGACGGACAGUCGAUCCGGUAGGGGUUUUUAAGGGCGUUCAUCUUCUCCAUCCAAACAAAAUUUCUGAGGAUUGUGGCUUGGCAGAGUCAAGCGAGCUGCUUUCGAGGUUGGAGUUUAUGGCAAUCAUUGUCUUACAGACGUGUUUAGUGGACCACCAUCACAGGAGCAGAGUUACCACCAAUAGCCUAUUAAUUAACGAGGGCCAAACAAGAAGUAUUAAAAGGCCUCAUUUUAUAUGUAUGGCAAUAGGUAUUCAAUUAAAAUAAGUGAAUUAUUAAAAGGAAUAACAAGUUAUCAAAGAUUUAGGUGAGUAAUAUUUUUAGUUUAUGAUAAUUUAUAGUUGAAUACUGUUAGUAAUACAACUUAUCAUUGAAUGAUUAAAAGAAAUUUUCUAAACUACCAUAUGGAGUUCAUGUAUUUAUGAGAUUAGAUAGAAAAAAAGCAUUUGUAGUUCAGCCUUAUGUAUUGUCAAAUUUAAAAGUAGAUACACAUAAAUAAAUGAAAGAAUUUAAUAAAAAAAUGUAUAUACCUGCUGAUUGAUGUUGUUCA